GCUCAGGACGAACGCUGGCGGCGUGCCUAAUACAUGCAAGUCGAGCGAACAGACGAGGAGCUUGCUCCUCUGACGUUAGCGGCGGACGGGUGAGUAACACGUGGAUAACCUACCUAUAAGACUGGGAUAACUUCGGGAAACCGGAGCUAAUACCGGAUAACAUGUUGAACCGCAUGGUUCAACAGUGAAAGACGGUCUUGCUGCCACUUAUAGAUGGAUCCGCGCCGCAUUAGCUAGUUGGUAAGGUAACGGCUUACCAAGGCAACGAUGCGUAGCCGACCUGAGAGGGUGAUCGGCCACACUGGAACUGAGACACGGUCCAGACUCCUACGGGAGGCAGCAGUAGGGAAUCUUCCGCAAUGGGCGAAAGCCUGACGGAGCAACGCCGCGUGAGUGAAGAAGGUCUUCGGAUCGUAAAACUCUGUUAUUAGGGAAGAACAAAUGUGUAAGUAACUAUGCACGUCUUGACGGUACCUAAUCAGAAAGCCACGGCUAACUACGUGCCAGCAGCCGCGGUAAUACGUAGGUGGCAAGCGUUAUCCGGAAUUAUUGGGCGUAAAGCGCGCGUAGGCGGUUUUCUAAGUCUGAUGUGAAAGCCCACGGCUCAACCGUGGAGGGUCAUUGGAAACUGGAAAACUUGAGUGCAGAAGAGGAAAGUGGAAUUCCAUGUGUAGCGGUGAAAUGCGCAGAGAUAUGGAGGAACACCAGUGGCGAAGGCGACUUUCUGGUCUGUAACUGACGCUGAUGUGCGAAAGCGUGGGGAUCAAACAGGAUUAGAUACCCUGGUAGUCCACGCCGUAAACGAUGAGUGCUAAGUGUUAGGGGGUUUCCGCCCUUAGUGCUGCAGCUAACGCAUUAAGCACUCCGCCUGGGGAGUACGACCGCAAGGUUGAAACUCAAAGGAAUUGACGGGGACCCGCACAAGCGGUGGAGCAUGUGGUUUAAUUCGAAGCAACGCGAAGAACCUUACCAAAUCUUGACAUCCUCUGACCCCUCUAGAGAUAGAGUUUUCCCCUUUCGGGGGACAGAGUGACAGGUGGUGCAUGGUUGUCGUCAGCUCGUGUCGUGAGAUGUUGGGUUAAGUCCCGCAACGAGCGCAACCCUUAAGCUUAGUUGCCAUCAUUAAGUUGGGCACUCUAAGUUGACUGCCGGUGAUAAACCGGAGGAAGGUGGGGAUGACGUCAAAUCAUCAUGCCCCUUAUGAUUUGGGCUACACACGUGCUACAAUGGACAAUACAAAGGGUAGCGAAACCGCGAGGUCAAGCAAAUCCCAUAAGUUGUUCUCAGUUCGGAUUGUAGUCUGCAACUCGACUACAUGA
RNAcentral lists this ribosomal RNA (1319 nucleotides) under uncultured bacterium. RNAcentral's name for it is "bacterial SSU rRNA". It matches the Rfam family "Bacterial small subunit ribosomal RNA", at positions 22 to 1323 of the family's 1533-position model. The record is from RNAcentral.